RNAcentral lists this ribosomal RNA (1486 nucleotides) under uncultured bacterium. RNAcentral's name for it is "16S ribosomal RNA". It matches the Rfam family "Bacterial small subunit ribosomal RNA". The record is from RNAcentral.
CCAUGAAAAAGAGUUUAGAUCCUGGCUCAGGAUGAACGCUCUGCGGCGUGCCUAAUGCAUGCAAGUCGAACGGUCUGAUUUAUCAGGUAGUGGCGAACGGCUGAGUAAAGCACACGCAACCUGCCCUUGAGUGGGGAAUAACUUGCUGAAAGGUAAGCUAAUACCGCAUACGCUUGCUUUGAGGAAUCGGAGUAAGUAAAGCCUACGGGCGCUUGAGGAGGGGCUUGUGUCCUAUCAGGUAGUUGGUAGGGUAACGGCCUACCAAGCCAAAGACGGGUAGCUGGUCUGAGAGGAUGGUCAGCCAGAUAGGGAAUGAGAGACGGCCCUGACUCCUACGGGAGGCAGCAGCAAGGGAUAUUGCGCAAUGGGCGAAAGCCUGACGCAGCGACGCCGCGUGGGGGAAGAAGGCCCUCGGGUCGUAAACCCCUUUUCUUGGUGAAGAGUAAAGAAAAUAGCCAAGGAAUAAGUCUCGGCUAACUACGUGCCAACAGCCGCGGUAAUACGUAGGAGGCGAGCGUUAUCCGGAAUUACUGGGCGUAAAGGGCGUGUAGGCGGCCCUUUAAGUUGGCUGUGAAAUCUCCCGGCUCAACCGGGAGGGGUCAGCCAAAACUGGAGGGCUAGAGGACAGCAAGGGAACCCGGAAUUCCCGGUGUAGCGGUGAAAUGCGUAGAUAUCGGGAGGAAGGAAAGUGGCGAAGGCGGCCUUCUGGGCUGUCCCUGACGCUGAGGCGCGAAAGCGUGGGGAGCAAAGCGAUUAGAUACCCGCGUAGUCACGCCGUAAACGGUGGAUACUAGGUAUAGGGGGUAUCGACCCCCUCUGUGCCGAAGCUAACGCCAUAAGUAUCCCGCCUGGGGACUACGGCCACAAGGCUUAAAAAAAAAACCUUCAAAAGGAAUUGACGGGGGGCCCGCACAAGCAGCGGAGCGUGUGGUUUAAUUCGAUGCAACACGAAGAACCUUACCAAGGCUUGACAUGCUGGUGGUAGGAAUUCGAAAGGAGGACGACCCUGGUUCGCCAGGGAGCCUGCACAGGUGCUACAUGGCUGUCGUCAGCUCGUGCCGUGCGGUGCUGGGUUAAGUCCUAUAACGAGCGCAACCCUCGUCCUGUGUUACACUCUCACAGGAGACUGCCCAGAAAGUCUGGGAGGAAGGUGGGGAUGACGUCAAGUCAGCAUGGCCCUUAUGCCUUGGGCGACACACACGCUACAAUGGAUGGUACAGAUGGUUGCGAAGGAGUGAUCUGGAGCUAAUCCAACAAAGCCAUCCUCAAUUCGGAUUGCAGGCUGAAACUCGCCUGCAUGAAGUCGGAGUUGCUAGUAACCGCAGGUCAGCAUACUGCGGUGAAUACGUUCCCGGGCCUUGUACACACCGCCCGUCACGUCAUGAAAGCCGGCAACACCUGAAGUCGAUGAGCUAACUCUUUUUGUGAGGCAGUCGCCGAAGGUGGGGCUGGUGAUUGGGACGAUUGUCGUAACAAGGUAACCGUA